GCACAGAAUGUGCCAAGGAACCAAAAUUAUUCCACUGCCCCCCGUUGGCACCGGAGACGGUGCCCUCGCGGGACGUGUGAUGCUGAUAAUAUAUAAACGACUCUCGGCAACGGAUAUCUAGGCUCUUGCAUCGAUGAAGAACGUAGCGAAAUGCGAUACUUGGUGUGAAUUGCAGAAUCCCGUGAACCAUCGAGUUUUUGAACGCAAGUUGCGCCCAAAGCCAUUAGGUUGAGGGCACGUCUGCCUGGGCGUCACAUAUCGUUGCCCUGUGCCCCAUGCCUAUUGAUAGGCACCGUGCAGGGCGAAUGUUGGCUUCCCGUGAGCUCUUUUGCCUCAUGGUUGGCUGAAAACUGAGUCCUUGGUAGGGUGUGUGCCAUGAUAGAUGGUGGUUGUGUGACCCACGAGACCGAUCAUGUGCAACCCUACCAGAUUUGGCCUCUAUGACCCACUUGCGUCCUUGGAUGCUCAUGACGAGAC
RNAcentral lists this ribosomal RNA (477 nucleotides) under Onobrychis megataphros. RNAcentral describes it as "eukaryotic LSU rRNA". The stretch from base 99 to 254 matches the Rfam family "5.8S ribosomal RNA". Lineage: Eukaryota; Viridiplantae; Streptophyta; Magnoliopsida; Fabales; Fabaceae. The record is from RNAcentral.